GCAUAACAUCUUCUGGACUGCGGUUCGGGAGAUCAAAGGAGCAAUCCGCUUGUGGAGGGGCCCGCGGCCGAUUAGCUAGUUGGUGAGGUAACGGCCCACCAAGGCAAAGAUCGGUAGCCGGUCUGAGAGGACGCACGGCCACACUGGAACUGAGACACGGUCCAGACUCCUACGGGAGGCAGCAGUGGGGAAUCUUGCACAAUGGCCGAAAGGCUGAUGCAGCGACGCCGCGUGAGUGAUGAAGCCCUUCGGGGUGUAAAGCUCUUUCGGCGGGGACGAUAAUGACGGUACCCGCAGAAGAAGCCCCGGCAAACUACGUGCCAGC
This 325-nucleotide ribosomal RNA is filed under the name uncultured bacterium. Its description in RNAcentral is "bacterial SSU rRNA". It matches the Rfam family "Bacterial small subunit ribosomal RNA", at positions 171 to 512 of the family's 1533-position model. The record is from RNAcentral.